CCUGACGGAGCAACGCCGCGUGCGGGAGGAAGGCCUGUGGGUUGUAAACCGCUUUUCUCAGGGAAGAAGUACUGACGGUACCUGAGGAAUCAGCAUCGGCUAACUCCGUGCCAGCAGCCGCGGUAAUACGGAGGAUGCAAGCGUUAUCCGGAAUUAUUGGGCGUAAAGCGUCCGCAGGCGGCUGUUCAAGUCUGCUGUCAAAGCCUGGGGCUUAACCUCGGAUAGGCAGUGGAAACUGAGUAGCUAGAGUGCGGUAGGGGUAGAGGGAAUUCCCAGUGUAGCGGUGAAAUGCGUAGAUAUUGGGAAGAACACCAGUGGCGAAGGCGCUCUACUGGACCGCAACUGACGCUGAGGGACGAAAGCUAGGGGAGC
Molecule: ribosomal RNA, 372 nt
Filed under: Halomicronema excentricum str. TFEP2
Lineage: Bacteria; Bacillati; Cyanobacteriota; Cyanophyceae; Nodosilineales; Nodosilineaceae
Also listed under: 1 other name
Description: bacterial SSU rRNA
Rfam family: Bacterial small subunit ribosomal RNA
Source: RNAcentral